UACGAAGGGGGCUAGCGUUGUUCGGAAUUACUGGGCGUAAAGCGCACGUAGGCGGACUGUUAAGUCGGGGGUGAAAUCCUGGGGCUCAACCUCAGAAUUGCCUCCGAUACUGGCAGUCUCGAGUGCGGGAGAGGUGAGUGGAAUUCCCAGUGUAGAGGUGAAAUUCGUAGAUAUUGGGAAGAACACCAGUGGCGAAGGCGGCUCACUGGCCCGUAACUGACGCUGAGGUGCGAAAGCGUGGGGAGCAAACAGG
This 253-nucleotide ribosomal RNA is filed under the name uncultured bacterium. RNAcentral's name for it is "partial 16S ribosomal RNA". It matches the Rfam family "Bacterial small subunit ribosomal RNA", at positions 524 to 776 of the family's 1533-position model. The record is from RNAcentral.